UACAGAGGGUGCGAACGUUGCUCGGAAUUACUGGGCGUAAAGCGCAUGUAGGCGGAUCCAUAAGUCGGGCGUGAAAUCCCCAGGCUCAACCUGGGAACUGCGCUCGAAACUGUGGGUCUUGAGUGUUGGAGAGGAUGGCGGAAUUCCUGGUGUAGAGGUGAAAUUCGUAGAUAUCAGGAGGAACACCGGUGGCGAAGGCGGCCAAUCUGGACAACAACUG
RNAcentral lists this ribosomal RNA (220 nucleotides) under uncultured bacterium. RNAcentral's name for it is "partial 16S ribosomal RNA". It matches the Rfam family "Bacterial small subunit ribosomal RNA", at positions 524 to 742 of the family's 1533-position model. The record is from RNAcentral.